AAUUGGGACAAGUGUGCGGAUCUGUAACCUCACAACUAAGCAGCACGUGGAGUUGCCAAUAGUUGUAUCGAGCAUCUCGGGAGAUGAUUCCAAUAUGUGGAACCACUUUGGAACGAUUCUGUUCAGGAGGAAUACAAAGUGAUUAGCGUAACUUGGAAAGGCUUUGGAGGAGAAUCAACCAAAGCUUAGCUCCGCAUCGUAAUGUAACAUUCCGACUUGUGAUAUAUGGAAAGACUUAAGAGAACUGAUUUGGUUAUCUAUAUCAC
Molecule: long non-coding RNA, 266 nt
Filed under: Brassica napus (rape)
Lineage: Eukaryota; Viridiplantae; Streptophyta; Magnoliopsida; Brassicales; Brassicaceae
Description: long non-coding RNA (BNAP_LNC021865)
Source: RNAcentral